Molecule: ribosomal RNA, 387 nt
Filed under: Roseateles sp.
Lineage: Bacteria; Pseudomonadati; Pseudomonadota; Betaproteobacteria; Burkholderiales; Sphaerotilaceae
Description: bacterial SSU rRNA
Rfam family: Bacterial small subunit ribosomal RNA
Source: RNAcentral
ACACAUGCAAGUCGAACGGUAACGCGGGGCAACCUGGCGACGAGUGGCGAACGGGUGAGUAAUGUAUCGGAACGUGCCCAGUUGUGGGGGAUAACUGCUCGAAAGAGCAGCUAAUACCGCAUACGACCUGAGGGUGAAAGCGGGGGAUCGCAAGACCUCGCGCAGUUGGAGCGGCCGAUAUCAGAUUAGGUAGUUGGUGGGGUAAAGGCUCACCAAGCCAACGAUCUGUAGCUGGUCUGAGAGGACGACCAGCCACACUGGGACUGAGACACGGCCCAGACUCCUACGGGAGGCAGCAGUGGGGAAUUUUGGACAAUGGGGGCAACCCUGAUCCAGCCAUGCCGCGUGCGGGAAGAAGGCCUUCGGGUUGUAAACCGCUUUUGUCAG